This 187-nucleotide ribosomal RNA is filed under the name uncultured bacterium. RNAcentral describes it as "partial 16S ribosomal RNA". It matches the Rfam family "Bacterial small subunit ribosomal RNA", at positions 1314 to 1500 of the family's 1533-position model. The record is from RNAcentral.
GCCUACAUGAAGUCGGAAUUGCUAGUAAUCGUGGAUCAGCAUGCCACGGUGAAUACGUUCCCGGGCCUUGUACACACCGCCCGUCAAACCAUGAGAGUUGGCAACACCCGAAGCCUGUAGCUUAACCGCAAGGAUGGCGCAGUCGAAGGUGGGGUCGAUGAUUAGGGUUAAGUCGUAACAAGGUACC